RNAcentral lists this ribosomal RNA (795 nucleotides) under uncultured bacterium. Its description in RNAcentral is "bacterial SSU rRNA". It matches the Rfam family "Bacterial small subunit ribosomal RNA", at positions 8 to 796 of the family's 1533-position model. The record is from RNAcentral.
AGAGUUUGAUCAUGGCUCAGAUUGAACGCUGGCGGCAUGCUUUACACAUGCAAGUCGAACGGUAACGCGGGGGCAACCCUGGCGACGAGUGGCGAACGGGUGAGUAAUACAUCGGAACGUGUCCUGAGGUGGGGGGAUAACCUAUCGAAAGGUAGGCUAAUACCGCAUACGCUCGGGAGAGGAAAGCGGGGGAUCGGUAACGACCUCGCGCUGCAGGAGCGGCCGAUGUCCGAUUAGCUAGUUGGUGGGGUAAAGGCUUACCAAGGCGACGAUCGGUAGCUGGUCUGAGAGGAUGAUCAGCCACACUGGGACUGAGACACGGCCCAGACUCCUACGGGAGGCAGCAGUGGGGAAUUUUGGACAAUGGGGGCAACCCUGAUCCAGCCAUGCCGCGUGAGUGAAGAAGGCCUUCGGGUUGUAAAGCUCUUUCGGUGGGACCGAAACGGUUACCACUAACACUGGUGACUACUGACGGUACUCACAGAAGAAGCACCGGCUAACUACGUGCCAGCAGCCGCGGUAAUACGUAGGGUGCGAGCGUUAAUCGGAAUUACUGGGCGUAAAGCGUGCGCAGGCGGUGGCUCAAGCCAGGCGUGAAAUCCCCGGGCUUAACCUGGGAAUGGCGUUUGGGACUGGGUCGCUAGAGUGUGGCAGAGGGAGGUGGAAUUCCCGUGUAGCAGUGAAAUGCGUAGAGAUGUGGAGGAACACCGAUGGCGAAGGCAGCCUCCUGGGCCAGCACUGACGCUCAUGCACGAAAGCGUGGGGAGCAAACAGGAUUAGAUACCCUAGUAGUCC